Fundulus heteroclitus (mummichog) is the source of this 782-nucleotide long non-coding RNA. RefSeq lists it as uncharacterized. The record is from RefSeq and is a predicted model, not a curated record. Lineage: Eukaryota; Metazoa; Chordata; Actinopteri; Cyprinodontiformes; Fundulidae. The transcript has 4 exons.
AGGCCGCCCAGUGACAGUAACUGUUGGAAUCGCGUGGAACCUUCAUCUGGCCCCUCCACCACCAAGACCUCCAAGACUGCCAGUUGCAACUGCGUUAACAUGGACCAUCCUUACUGUGGCUCGAGUGAUCUUUGGUCUCGUGUACUUCCAGGACUGCCCUCUGCAGCCGAACAUCCCCAAAUCUCUGUUAGGGAUGACGUUCUGCCACCUGUUGAUGAUUUUGUUUGAGACGGUAAAGUGGGAGAAUGAUGCUGCUCGACCACGACAACGUCCCAGAGGUUUCAGACUCUGUUUGCAGUUCUUUUUGAGCCUGCUUGUCAUCAUUUGGGUCUCGUUAGGUAUCGUUUGGGUUUUCUCUAUCUAUCAGCCAAACUACGACCCCUCAGCCGCUGAUGGCCUUUACUGUAAUAAAACCCUGUAUACGUUUGCUUUCUGGAACGCCGUGUUGGAGAUGUUUGGAUUUGGAGUCCUCCUGGUCCGACUCUGCAAAGGAUUGCUGUUCUAUGUGACUCUGAGUCCAGUGGAGACAGAUUUUUACAGCAAUGUCUGAGGUGUUGUGUGACAACCUGUGAAGUUACUGUAAGGUUUUAUUUAGACAAAGACUAAUAUGUGCUUGAAUAAAAGUCUGUUUGCUGUUGAUUGAUACGUUUAAGAACAAUCUUGAUUUUAAUCUCUCAUAAUUAUCAUGUUUGUCUAUUGAACAAAUAGUAGAAACAUAAGAAAAAACAUUGAUCUAACUUUUUUAUUAUUUUGAGGAACAUCAUCAAGGCAAAAGUUGUAAU